UGGUCACACAAAUUACCCACCUCCAUUGUCCUUUUCUCUCCAUCUUUCGUCGUACAAGCAAGCACCCACGUCUUCCGUGUCAUAUCUGCUUGACCAUUUGGCACUCCUGCCGUUAAUCACUAGGAUUAGCAUUUACUUCACGCGCCUCUCGUCAUUUAUAAAACCUCCCUAAUCACCAUGACUAGCGUUCCGCCCUAAGUUUUGGUGCUUUCAUUGAUCAAGCAAUCCAAAGAACAGAGAAGCAUGAGUGAUCCUAGAGGGAGCGUGCCCUUUGCAUGGGAGAACAAGCCCGGAGUCUCCAAGGCGAUUUCGAGAAGCAACAGCGGAGAAUCGUUGUCGCCGCCACCAGUCAAAGAUAGGAGGCAGUUCCCAACCAAGUUGCCGCCGCCCCCGUGUCCGAUGACGGACGGUUUGAGGGUUUCCAUGGCACAAGAGAUGCAGAUUCCGCUCCCACCGUGCACCUUUCAGCCUCCGCGGAGGAGUAGCUCAAAGAAGGGCGCAAAGAAGCAGGACGACGACCCGUUCCUCGCGGCUUAUAAGGAGUGCACCAAGGGUACCAAGGCAGAACAUCGUCACAAGUUGUCCAAGCACGAUGAUGGAGGUCUAGGGUUUGGGCUGAGGAAGUACAUGCUUGCUAAUUUCUCUUGUAAGCGGUCGUGCAGCGUGAGGGAUGACAAUAUGGUCAGAGUUUCUCAUUUGAAGAGAGAGAGAGAGAGAGAGAGAGAGAGAGAGAGAGACGAUAGGUUUCAAGAUUUGAAAGGUUUCUUGAAUGGGCAGUGCUUCUCACUCUAAAUUUAGAGAGAUUGGAUACAUAGCAUGCUUUAAGACACCUAACGAGAGUACAUAGCUUUACUUUUAUCUCAUCUUUCGAUCUAACUUUGCUGGCUCCAAUUAGGGCACAUCUGAGAUCUUUGAAUAAACAUAUCUCUGGCCUUCUAUGUUGUAAGUAGAAAUUUCCUUGGUCCGGACACAGCUGAAACUGUCGUGCUCGUAUUUUACAAGAAGUUCCUCAAUCAUGAUGAAAUAAUGUGUUCUUGUUUCUUA
Molecule: long non-coding RNA, 1044 nt
Organism: Syzygium oleosum
Lineage: Eukaryota; Viridiplantae; Streptophyta; Magnoliopsida; Myrtales; Myrtaceae
Exons: 2
Source: RefSeq, a predicted model, not a curated record